RNAcentral lists this ribosomal RNA (481 nucleotides) under uncultured bacterium. Its description in RNAcentral is "partial 16S ribosomal RNA". It matches the Rfam family "Bacterial small subunit ribosomal RNA", at positions 28 to 507 of the family's 1533-position model. The record is from RNAcentral.
GACGAACGUUGGCGGCGUGCUUAAUACAUGCAAGUCAACUGAAGCAGUGGUAGCAAUAUCGCUGUGGAGGUGGCGCACGGGUGAUUAACACGUAGGUAAUCUGCCUUCAGGUCUGGCAUAACUCCGUGAAACCGGGGCUAAUAGCAGAUGAUGCAGCGGCUCGACAUCGAGACAGUUGUUAAAGCUAUGGCGCCUGAAGAUGAGCCUGCGUCUGAUUAGCUAGUUGGCGGGGUAACGGCCCACCAAGGCAACGAUCAGUAGCUGGUCUGAGAGGAUGAUCAGCCACACUGGAACGGAGACACGGUCCAGACUCCUACGGGAGGCAGCAGUAAGGAAUAUUGCUCAAUGGGAGAAAUCCUGAAGCAGCAACGCCGCGUGAGGGACGAAGGGCUUUUGAUUGUAAACCUCUGUAGUGAGAGAAAAAAAUCCCAAUCUUUGGGACAUGAUGGUAUCUCAAAAGUAAGCCCCGGCUAACUACGUG